RNAcentral lists this ribosomal RNA (420 nucleotides) under uncultured bacterium. Its description in RNAcentral is "partial 16S ribosomal RNA". It matches the Rfam family "Bacterial small subunit ribosomal RNA", at positions 360 to 773 of the family's 1533-position model. The record is from RNAcentral.
AAUAUUGGACAAUGGGGGCAACCCUGAUCCAGCCAUGCCGCGUGUGUGAAGAAGGUCUUCGGAUUGUAAAGCACUUUAAGUUGGGAGGAAGGGCAGUAAGUUAAUACCUUGCUGUUUUGACGUUACCGACAGAAUAAGCACCGGCUAACUUCGUGCCAGCAGCCGCGGUAAUACGAAGGGUGCAAGCGUUAAUCGGAAUUACUGGCGUAAACGGCGCGGAAGUGGGUUGUUAAAUUGGAAGUGAAAGCCCCGGGCUCAAACUGGGAACUGCUUUCAAAACUGGCAAGCUAGAGUAUGGGAGAGGGUAGUGGAAUUUCCUGUGUAGCGGUGAAAUGCGUGGAUAUAGGAAGGAACACCAGUGGCGAAGGCGACCACCUGGGCUAAUACUGACGCUCAGACACGAAAGCGUGGGGAGCAAAC